AACGAACGCUGGCGGCGUGGAUAAGACAUGCAAGUCGAACGAUCACUAUUGGGUAGCAAUAUUCGGUAGUGGGAGUGGCGCAAGGGUGCGUAACACGUGGGUAAUUUGCCGUAAAGUCUGGGAUAACUUGCUGAAAGGCGAGCUAAUACCGGAUGUGAUUGCUGGAGGGCAUCCUCUGGCACUUAAAGUCGGGGACCGUAAGGCCUGACACUUUUCGAUAAGCCCGCGGCCUAUCAGCUAGUUGGUGAGGUAACGGCUCACCAAGGCUAAGACGGGUAGCUGGUCUGAGAGGACGACCAGCCUCACUGGAACUGAGACACGGUCCAGACACCUACGGGUGGCAGCAGUCGAGAAUUUUUCUCAAUGGGGGAAACCCUGAAGGAGCGACGCCGCGUGGGGGAUGAAUGGCUUCGGCCCGUAAACCCCUGUCAUUUGCGAUCAAACCUUACGACCUAACACGUCGUGAGCUGAUAGUAGCGGAAGAGGAAGGGACGGGCUAACUCUGUGCCAGCAGCC
This 516-nucleotide ribosomal RNA is filed under the name uncultured bacterium. RNAcentral's name for it is "bacterial SSU rRNA". It matches the Rfam family "Bacterial small subunit ribosomal RNA", at positions 29 to 516 of the family's 1533-position model. The record is from RNAcentral.